Non-coding RNA from Helianthus annuus (common sunflower), 3382 nucleotides. The record is from Rfam. Lineage: Eukaryota; Viridiplantae; Streptophyta; Magnoliopsida; Asterales; Asteraceae.
CGACCUCAGGUCAGGCGGGACUACCCGCUGAGUUUAAGCAUAUCAAUAAGGGAGGAAAAGCAACUUACAAGGAUUCCCUUAGUAACGGCGAGCGAACCAGGAACAACCCAACUUGAAAAUCGGGCGGCUUCGUUAUUCGAAUUGUAGUCUGUAGAAGCGUCCUUAGCGGCGAACCGGGCCCAAGUCCCCUAGAAGGGGGCGCCGGAUAGGGUGAGACCCCCUCGUUCCUGGACCCUGUCGCACCACGAGGCGCUAUCUGUGAGUUGGGUUAUUUGGGAAUGCACCCCCAAUAGGGCGGUAAAUUCCGUCCAAGGCUAAAUACUGGCGUGAGACCGAUAGCAAACAAGUGCCGUGCGGGAAAGAUGAAAAGGCCUUUGAAAAGAGAGUCAAGGAGUGCUUGAAAUUGUCGGGAGAGAAGUGAAUGGGGUCGGCGAUGCGUCCUGGUCAGAUGUGGAACGAUGUAAGUCGGUGCGCCGAUCGGCUCGGGGCAUGGACCGGUGCGGAUUGGUACGAUGGCCAAAGCCCAGGCUGUUGAUAUGCCUGUGGAGAUGUCGUUGUGCUGAUCGUGGUUGGCAGCGAGCGCCUUCAUGGCAUGCUUCGGAAACUGCGUGCUCCUGGCACCAGCCUGCGGGCACCCCAUUCGGCCCGUCUUGAAACACGGACUAAGGAGUCUGACAUGUGUGCGAGUUAACGGGUGAGUAAACCCGCAAGGCGCAUGGAAGCUGAUUGGCGGGAUCCCCCUCGUGGGGUGCACCGCUGACCGAUCUUGAUCUUCUGAAGGGUUCUAGUGUGAGCAUGCCUGUCGGGGCCCGAAGGAUGGUGAACUAUAUGCCUGAGCGGGGCGAAGCCAAAGGAAACUUUGGUGGAGGCCCGCAGCGAUACUGGCGUGCAAAUCGUUCGUCUAACUUAGGUAUAGAGGUGAAAGACUAAUCGAACCUUCUAGUAGCUGGUUUCCCUCAGGAUAGCUGGAGCCUGGGUGCGAGUUCUAUCUGAUAAAGCGAAUGACUAGAGGCAUCGGGGGCACAACGCCCUAGACCUAUUCUCAAACUUUAAAUAGGUAGGAUGGCGCAACUGCUUUGUUGAGUUGCGCCACGGUAUCGAGAGCUCUAAGUGGGCCAUUUUUUGUAAGCAGAACUGGCGAUGCGGGAUGAACUGGAAGACGGGUUACGGUGCCAAACUGCGCGCUAACCUAGAACCCACAAAGGGUGUUGGUCGAUUAAGACAGCAGGACAGUGGUCUUGGAAGUUGAAAUCCGCUAAGGAGUGUGUAACAACUCACCUGCUGAAUCAACUAGCCCCGAAAAUGCAUGGUGCUUAAGCGCGUGACCUACACCCGGCCGUCGAGGCAAGUGCUAGGCUCGGAUGAGUAGGAGGGUGCGGCGGUCACUACAAAACCUUGGGUCAGAGCCCGGGUGGAGCAGCCAUCGGUGCGGAUCUUGGUGGUAGUAGCAAAUAUUCAAAUGAGAACUUUGAAGGCCGGAGAGGGGAAAGGUUUCAUGUGAAUGGCACUUUCACAUGGGUAAGUCAAUCCAAAGAGACGGGGAAGCCCAUCAGAUAGCGUGUUUCACGCAAGCUUCGAAAAGGAGUCGGAUUAAAAUUCCUGAACCAGGAUAUGGCUGCUGACGACAAGAUUAGGGAUUCCGGAGACGUCAGCGAGGGCCCCGGGAAGAGUUAUCUUUUCUGUUUAACAGCCUGCCCACCGUGGAAACGACUCAGUCGAAGGUAGGAUCCAGCGGCUGGAAGAGCACCGCACGUCGCGCGGUGUCCGGUGCGCCCCCGGCGGCCCUUGAAAAUCUGUAGGACCGAGUGCCUCCCAUGCCUGGUCGUACUCUUAACAGCAUCAUGUAUCCAAGGUGAACAGCCUCUGGCCGAUGGAACAAUGUAGGGAAGGGAAGUCGUUAAAAUGGAUCCGUAACCUCGGGAAAAGGAUUGGCUCUGAGGGCUGGGCACGGGGGUCCCCAUCCCGAACCCGCCGGCUGUCGGUGGACUGCUCGAGCUGCUUCCGUGGCGAGAGCGGGUCACCGCGUGCCGGCCGGGGGGACGGACUGGGAACGACCUCUUCGAGGGCCUUCCCCGGGCAUCGAACAACCAACUCAGAACUAGUACGGAAAAGGGGGAUCUGAGUGUUUAAUUAAAACAAAGCAUUGCAAUGGUCCCUGUGGAUGCUAACACAAUGUGAUUUCUGCCCAGUGCACUGAAUGUCAAAGUGAAGAAAUUCAACCAAGCGUGGUAAACGGCGGGAGUAACUAUUACUCUCUUAAGGUAGCCAAAUGCCUCGUCAUCUAAUUAAUGACGCGCAUGAAUGGAUUAACGAGAUUCCCACUGUCCCUGUCUACUAUCCAACGAAACGACAGCCAAGGGAAUGGGCUUGGCAGAAUCAGCGGGGGAAGAAGACCCUGUUGAGCUUGACUCUAGUCUGAAUUUGUGAAAUGACUUGAGAGGUGUAGUAUAAGUGGGAGCCCUCGGGCGAAAGUGAAAUACAGCUACUUUUAACGUUAUUUUACUUAUUCCGUGAAUCAGAAGCGGGGCAACGCCCCUCUUUUUGGACCCAAGGCCCACCUCGGCGGGUCGAUCCGGGCGGAAGACAUUGUCAGGUGGGGAGUUUAGUUAGGGUGGCACAUCUGUUAAAACAUAAUGCAUGUGUCUUAAGAUGAGAUCAACGAGAACAUAAAUCUCGUGUAGAACUAAAGGGUAAAAGCUUGUUUGAUUCUGAUUUCCAGUACGAAUACGAACUGUGAAAGUGUGGCCUAACGAUCCUUUAGACCUUCGGAAUUUGAAGCUAGAGGUGUCAGAAAAGUUACCACAGGGAUAACUGGCUUGUGGCAGAAAAGCGUUCAUAGCGACAUUGCUUUUUGACCCUUCGAUGUCGGCUCUUCCUAUCAUUGUGAAGCAGAAUUCACCAAGUGUUGGAUUGUUCACCCACCAAUAGGGAACGUGAGCUGGAUUUAGACCGUCGUGAGACAGGUUAGUUUUACCCUACUGAUGAAAGUGUCGUGAAGCCAGUGGCGUGAAGCUACUGUGGUCAUCGCGCUUGGUUGAAAAGCCAGUGGUCAUCGCGCUUGGUUGAAAAGCCAGUGGCGUGAAGCUACUGUGCGCUGGAUUAUGACUGAAUGCCUCAAGUCAGAAUCCGGGCUAGAAGCAACAUGUGUGCCCGUCUCCUGUUUGCCGACCAGCAGCAGGGGACUCAGCACCCAAAGGCACGUGUCGUAGGCUAAGCUCACACGACAGACGAGCCGCCCUGGCCACCAUGAAGUACAAUUCCCAUCAAUCAACUGGUAGAAUCCUUUGCAGACGACUUAAAUACGUGACGGGGUAUUGUAAGUGGCAGAGUGGCUUUGCUGCCACAAUCCACUGAGAUUCAGCCCUUCGUCACUCAGAUUCGU